This 131-nucleotide microRNA precursor is filed under the name Gossypium hirsutum (cotton). Its description in RNAcentral is "MIR7502 microRNA precursor family". It matches the Rfam family "MIR7502 microRNA precursor family". Lineage: Eukaryota; Viridiplantae; Streptophyta; Magnoliopsida; Malvales; Malvaceae. The record is from Rfam by way of RNAcentral.
UGUUAAAAAUUUCAUCUAUUUGUAUAGUUAAAAACCAGCGUGGUCUAUCGAAUAACCAGACAAUGACAUAUGGUAUGCAAUGUGUACCUCAUGCCGAAUUUUUAUAGUAAAAAUUAAUGAAAUUUUUAAUA